GUCGGCUAGAAAACCCAAUUGAGGGUCGGGAGAGUUCCCUCGAUUCCUACGCAACCAGAUAUCUAGGUUCGGGGACUUGGAUUACGCUAAUAUUUCUAUUAACGCCAUUUCGGUACCUAAACGGUAUGUUGUGUUUUUUCCUAAUAUGUCAAUGCGUUUCUUUUUAUAUUUUCAGGAUCGUUAUUUCUAGACUAAGUGAUCAUGCGUGAUGGAUUACUUUCAUUCUAUUUUAUUCUAUUCUAUUCCUAAGAAAUGAAAGGAAAACAAUCAAUGAAAAUGAAAUUGCAAGACAUG
RNAcentral lists this long non-coding RNA (294 nucleotides) under Eucalyptus grandis. Its description in RNAcentral is "long non-coding RNA (EGRA_LNC005666)". Lineage: Eukaryota; Viridiplantae; Streptophyta; Magnoliopsida; Myrtales; Myrtaceae. The record is from RNAcentral.